AGGGAAGUAGUUAACCAUAACAUUUGAAUUGCAAUCAAAAAGUAUUGAAUAUUAAUCAAUCUUCCUU
This 67-nucleotide transfer RNA is filed under the name Agriocnemis femina. RNAcentral describes it as "tRNA-Ala". The record is from RNAcentral. Lineage: Eukaryota; Metazoa; Arthropoda; Insecta; Odonata; Coenagrionidae.